GUCUACAGCCAUACCACCCUGAACACGCCCAAUCUCCUCUGAUCUCAGAAGCUAAGCAGGGUCGGGCCUGGUUAGUACUUGGAUGGGGGAGAUGAAGUUU
This 100-nucleotide ribosomal RNA is filed under the name Pongo abelii (Sumatran orangutan). The record is from RNAcentral. Lineage: Eukaryota; Metazoa; Chordata; Mammalia; Primates; Hominidae.